Long non-coding RNA from Anolis carolinensis (green anole), 565 nucleotides. RefSeq lists it as uncharacterized. The record is from RefSeq and is a predicted model, not a curated record. The transcript is spliced from 2 exons. NCBI's taxonomy places the organism in Eukaryota, Metazoa, Chordata, Lepidosauria, Squamata, Anolidae.
UCCUUACUCAAACUCACCCUUUGCUCCCUUGGGUGCAACCACAAAUAUUUGUUGUAGGAAACAAAUAUUUGACUCUGGAAAACACUUUGAAAAGCGUCUUUUAUAGCAUCAUUUUUGGAAAUGCAGCAGUGCCUUUGGAUAACAUGCCUGGUGCAACUGAGCUGUUUCGUACAUGUGGUUGGGAUGAUUUAAAGUGACAUGCAUGCAAUUAUAGCAGGCAGAUGAAGAAGGACAUUGAAGAGAACCCCUAAAAUAGGGUCUGCACUCAGGAUAGCCAGCAUUGGACUAUGAUUCUGAAUUUGAAUCCUGCUCAGCCAUAGAAAGCAGUUGGGUGACUCUCUCAGCAAACCCCCUUUGAAUAUAUCCUAUUAGAAAACUCUGUGAUUUUCUCAUCGGAAAUGACUUGAAGGAACACAACAACAACAACAACAACAACAACAACAACAACAAGAAACUCUGAAUAGAUUCUUGAAAGUUCAGACUAAAUCCCAGAAGGAACUCACCAUUCCAGGCAGCACUUAAUGUUUAUGUUUCUUAAGUAAAGAAUGCCAUGUUCUAGAACGUU